RNAcentral lists this ribosomal RNA (253 nucleotides) under uncultured bacterium. Its description in RNAcentral is "partial 16S ribosomal RNA". It matches the Rfam family "Bacterial small subunit ribosomal RNA", at positions 524 to 776 of the family's 1533-position model. The record is from RNAcentral.
UCCGUAGGGGGCGAGCGUUGUCCGGAUUUAUUGGGCGUAAAGAGCGUGUAGGCGGCCAGGUAGGUCCGUUGUGAAAACUCGAGGCUCAACCUCGAGACGUCGAUGGAAACCAUCUGGCUAGAGUCCGGAAGAGGAGAGUGGAAUUCCUGGUGUAGCGGUGAAAUGCGCAGAUAUCAGGAAGAACACCCGUGGCGAAGGCGGCUCUCUGGGACGGUACUGACGCUGAGACGCGAAAGCGUGGGGAGCGAACAGG